GGGCAGGAAAGCGAAGACAUCCUGUAGUGAAGAGUGCAUCGUUCUUCAAAAACGGGUUAAAAAAAUUCCCAUGUAGCAAAGAACAUAGAAAUGUAACCGUGUCGUUAAUUUCUGAGUCUCUUUAGAAAGACCGUUGGUGCUGGUUUGUGUUUGCUGGAGCUUCCAGAAGAAAACUAAUGGAAAAGUGGAGGGGGAGGAGGAGGACGAAGACUGUAAAGUUCAUUCCUGCUGAUCUUCAUUGCUGGCACUUGGAGUUCGACUCCUGAUCUGGCUUCGUAGCUGCUCUAUUAGUUCAGGAUUCUGCUGCUGCAUCUGCUGCGCAAACUGCUGGCCCGCUUGUAUGAGGCUGGCAAGAUCAUUCGUGGAGGGGCUGGUGCCUGCUGCUCCCAUGGGGUUAUGGCCACCAGAAAUCAUCCCAGACAUGAGCUGUUGUACUUGUGGAUUGUUCAUUAGGUUAGAUGCCAUACUCAUGAAGCCAGGGUUGUUCAGCAAGCCAGCUAAAUCGAAUCCUCCAGGACCUCCGGUCGGACUAGGAGUCUCCUUCAUUUUCUGUUCGGCUAUUUUAAGGUUGGAUUUGUACGUGUCGUUGUCUGGAUCAAGCUCCAGGGCUUUUUUGUAGUAGACAACAGCUUCUGUGUGUUUAUUUAAACUGGAGAGGGCCAAGCCCAUUCUGCCGUAAGCUUUGCUGUAGUUUGGAUCAAUGCCUAUUGCUCUUUCACAGUCUCUGACUGCUCCAGCAUAAUUUCCUAAUUUACUGUAUGCAGCAGCUCUGUUGCAAAAAUACACAGCAUUGGAUGGAUUUAACUCAAUUGCUUUUCCGUAGAAAGACACAGCAGCUUCAAAGUUCUCUGCCUUCAUUUGUUCAUUUCCUUCAGUCUUGAGCCUUUCAGCUUCAGCUAUGUCAUCUUCAGAGGGGGUGACUGGCUCCGAGUUUGCUCUGAUGUGUUCAGGCUCCUUUCCUGCAGCAGCUUCAAAUAUUUCAGGGAGAGUCCGCGACACUGCGAGGCCUUGG
This 1012-nucleotide long non-coding RNA is filed under the name Gallus gallus (chicken). The record is from RNAcentral. Lineage: Eukaryota; Metazoa; Chordata; Aves; Galliformes; Phasianidae.